RNAcentral lists this transfer RNA (89 nucleotides) under Betaproteobacteria bacterium. RNAcentral's name for it is "tRNA-Glu". Lineage: Bacteria; Pseudomonadati; Pseudomonadota; Betaproteobacteria. RNAcentral also lists the same sequence under 2 other names. The record is from RNAcentral.
GAGCGCCGCGGCGAGGCGCGCCGGGUCGCUCUCGCCGAGCCGGCUGAACGGACGGGCCGGAUCGGCCAGAUCGAAAGCGGCGGCGCUCA